This is a long non-coding RNA of Pteropus alecto (black flying fox), 1290 nucleotides long. RefSeq lists it as uncharacterized. The record is from RefSeq and is a predicted model, not a curated record. The transcript has 2 exons. NCBI's taxonomy places the organism in Eukaryota, Metazoa, Chordata, Mammalia, Chiroptera, Pteropodidae.
GAGGGGUUUUUUUUUUUUCUAAGAAGUUUUGCCGUAUGUUGUGUGGAAUCCGCCCUGCUCUCUGUCUCCAUGGCCGAUGUUAAAAUCCACCUCACGUAGAACACAUUACAAUAUCAAGUAUGUUUGGAGAAAGGGCCAGAGCGUGGAGAUCACCCCAGAUGGCCGGGAGAACCACUUCAGAGUCAGCCAGAGCAGAACCAGGUAAGAAGACCGAGGGUCGAAGAGGUUAAGUAGCAAGACACAACUGCUUCCGCACCCUGCACCCAGCCCUUGCCGCUUCCAUCCUACCGCAGUGUGGAAAGUCCCUGGCAGAGUGUGAGCCCCAGGGCACCAUGAAGCCUUGGAGGUGGUGGCUGCUGCCAGCACAGAAGCAGGACCCCUGUGCACUGCUCGCCAUGGUCAGCUCACUAUGAGGGGGUGCAGGCAGUACCACCCCCCAACUGGACCGUCUCCACCUUUGCAAUCAUCCCAGUUCCAGAUGUGACUCUCACGUGCUCUGUGACCUUGGGGGUGGGAGUUAACAUUUCUAGGCCUUAAAUUCCCCAAACGGAAGAGGCUGCACUGGAAUCUGUCCUUGUGACGUUCUGGAAGUGUUUCAGUCCCCCAGGGUCCCCUGCCCCUCUUCACAGAGAGCGGACCUUGAGGAAGGUCAGGAUAACCUUGAAGUGUUUGUUUUCCUGUCGAGAGAUUUUGCCCCAGAUUUCAUCCUUUUCGACAAGUUCUAAGAGAGCGGGGGCAAUAACAGGAAGGAAAGAAAAUGGAGCUCACCAUAGAAACCCCAGCACUGGUCUGAGUCUGCGUCUCUGGUUCUGCUGGCGGCCACCACACUCCCAAGGACGUCAGCAUCUGGGCUCCCUCUGCCGACCGUACUCUUUGAAGUGGAAUGAUAGAUGAUCAGGUCAUAAAGUUGGGUGAUAUGCUGGGCAGGCUGAGGAGCCAUUUUUCCCCCAGAACCACUGACUGACAGAAAUGAUAAAGAGAGAUGUUAGGACGGUGUUGAUAUCUCCGGAAAAAAACAAACGCCAAAAAGAUUCAGUUGACGUUCUUGCCAUUUAAUAAACCAGAAUGCUUCAGAGGUAGACAUUUUGCAUCAAGAUGAGAGAUAGAAUCCACAAAUUACAUUUUCGUUGCAAUCACAUUUUUUUGACCGAAGCCACUGUGGUGAUACGUGAGAGAGAGAACUACCCAACUCAGACCCUCAGGCCGUCCCUCACCCGUGUCAUCUCCUUGGCGUGACUUAGCCUCUGGUUUGGAGCUGGAAGGAAUUCAAUAAAACAAGAUAUAUUGUUA